AACCACGUGCUGCCCUCUCUCUAGAUCCGUUUCUCCUCUAGUCUAGUUUUCAGCGGUGCUUAGGCGAAGCCCUGCUGGACUAGCUCCACCACCAUCGCCGUCACGCCGUCGCGCUGCCGGAGAACUCAUCUACCUCUCCGCCCCCUCUUGCUGGAUCAAGAAGUCAGAGAUCGCCGUCUUGCUGUACGUGUGCUGAACGCGGAGGUGCCGUCCGUUCUGCGCUAGAUCGGGACGGAUCGUGGGACGGCGUCGAUUUGGAUCGCGAAGACGUUCCCCUACAUCAACCGCAUUUCUUAACGCUUCCCGCUUAGCGAUCUACAAGGGUAUGUGGAUCCGAUCUCCCUCUCGUAGAUGAUCAUCACCAUGAUAGAUCUUCGUGUGCGUAUAUUUUUUUUCCAUGCAACCCUCCCCAACAAAAUAUGCAUGAACUUUAUUUAUUUUUGUUGAAAUUCUUUUAAAUUGUAAUCAAACGUAUGUUUUUUUGCAUGAUAAUACGUGUCUCAUUCAUAUGAUAAAAAACAAAGUACAAGUCACAUAAAGACUGACAUUACCAAAAUCAAAAAGAUAGCAGAACAUUGCUGAGCCUGUCACCUGCUUCCGGCACCACCACAACAUUCAUUAAAGAAAAAAAUGACAGAUCACCUUCUCACCCUAUUUUGACGCGGCUCCAUUGUUGACAUGCAGCUUUGCGGACAUCCAAGGUGGCUCAUCAAAAUUAAAGUCAUUGACAUUGAACGAAUCAGACCAGGGCAACACCCCGAACACGCCAUCGAUCUUCAGAUGUCGUCAAUGCACACCAUAAUCUGCAUCCGCUCCUGGACUAUCUCCCAAGCUUCGGACUGGCGUUGGAGCAAACACCUCGCCGAAGGAAAGAGGUGAAGGGACUCUUCUAACGACGACUAAAUGCCUGUUCGGCAAUGCUUCGUGAAACAAAGCGCACUUUGAGCAGUUCCACAAAAUGUAACUGGAUACCGCUCCGCUCCGACGUAGAGUCGUGGAGCGGAGAAAAUCCGAACGCGGCCUAAGGUUUCUAGUCACCUGGCCGAUAGAAAAAGAACGCGGCAAACCGGCACUUGAUUGUGUAAGCAAACGUACGUGGAC
RNAcentral lists this long non-coding RNA (1101 nucleotides) under Hordeum vulgare. Its description in RNAcentral is "long non-coding RNA (HVUL_LNC000499)". Lineage: Eukaryota; Viridiplantae; Streptophyta; Magnoliopsida; Poales; Poaceae. The record is from RNAcentral.